RNAcentral lists this non-coding RNA (28 nucleotides) under Mus musculus (house mouse). Lineage: Eukaryota; Metazoa; Chordata; Mammalia; Rodentia; Muridae. The record is from RNAcentral.
UCNGAACCCAAUGCCCCUUGAGUAGCAG